Molecule: long non-coding RNA, 1144 nt
Organism: Medicago truncatula (barrel medic)
Lineage: Eukaryota; Viridiplantae; Streptophyta; Magnoliopsida; Fabales; Fabaceae
Exons: 2
Source: RefSeq, a predicted model, not a curated record
AUUUACUAUUUUUCCCCACACUUUCUUUUUCAAGCCAAACACACCCUAAAAUUUUCCACAUUUUUCUACACUCUUCUCUCACAAAAAUCAGAACAUCCCUCUUCUCUCUUCCCCCUCUCUCACGUGUUCCUUUCUUUCACUCCCACCAUUACCUAUUUCACUUUUGUAGCAAAAUCAAGCUAGAAAUGACAUUUCAAGUUGUAGAAAAGUGAUUUUUGUGUUGUGUUUUGAGCAUUAGAGGCAAGCUUGAGCAAGAAACAAGAAUAUUGAAGCUAGGGUUUGGCUUGGCAAGAAGAUUGAGGCAGGGGCUGAAUGUAAGUAUAAGUGAUUAAUAGCUUAAAUUGAGGUAAAAGUGAUUAUUUUGAGAAGCAAUUCAAGUUAUGUUGAUUGAUUAGAUGUAUAAGUUGUUACUGACUUUGGGAUUCUAUGAUGAAUCUGUUUUUGGGCUGUUAGUAGUAUAAAUUUUGUCGUUGUUGCUGUUUGGAAUGAAAAGCUAAAAGUUAAAAGCCAUAAGUUGUUCCAAAAGCUUCCGUAGUUGAUUAUUGGGUUAAAUAUGUUAGAAUUUAUUUAUUACUGGUGUAGGAGCUGUGUAUACAUAUUUUAUUUGAUUCUGGAAAAUUUGAGUUGAAAUUGAAUUGUCUAGAGGUCAUAAGCUGUCAGUAAGCUGUUUUGGGAAUUUUGCCUUAAAUGACUAAGUUGUGGAUUAACCUUCUGUAUAAGUGGUUCAUGGGGCUGAGUAUAUAUGUUGGAACAUCUUUGCUGAAUGCUUGGUCGAAAUUAAUUUGAUAGAAGCCAUAAGCUGCUAGUUAAGCUGUUUGGAAGUGCUUAAAUAGCCAAACGACGUACUUCUGGUGCAAGGACUGAAAUUGAAAUUUUUGUGUAUGCUGGUUGAUGAAGUAAGAGUACAUCACAAAUGAGUUGAGUUGUUUUGGAAAGAGCAAGACCUAUAAGCCAAGACAUAAGCUAUUUUGGAAAAUGGAUUAUGGAGUUUUGGACUAGCAAAAGCUGCAAAUUUUGGAUAAGCUGCUUGCAAUUUCGGGACUAAUUCCAAGAAAUAACACUUGGAAAGGGUGGACAAUUAGCUAGAGCGGCUGGUGCUGUAGCGAAAUUGAUUGCAAAAGAGGGGAAAUCGGCAACAUUAAAA